RNAcentral lists this long non-coding RNA (276 nucleotides) under Equus asinus (donkey). RNAcentral describes it as "lncRNA (ENSEASG00005024019.1)". Lineage: Eukaryota; Metazoa; Chordata; Mammalia; Perissodactyla; Equidae. The record is from RNAcentral.
AAGAAAGAUAAAACAGAAUGGAAGCUAAAGUGACCAAAUUUUAUAGUAAAAAUCUGCACCAAAGUGAUUGUGUGGACACUUUAUCUAUUUGGAACCAAGAAAUUAAAGAAGAAAAGGCUACACAAGCCCCCCGGUACAUAGUUGUGUAUUCUACGUUGUGGGUUCCUCUAGUUGUGGCAUGUGGGACGCUGCCUCAGCGUGGUCUGACGAGCAGUGCCAUGUCCGCGCCCAGGAUUCGAACCGACGAAACACUGGGCCGCCUGCAGCGGAGCGCGC